Chroicocephalus ridibundus (black-headed gull) is the source of this 1983-nucleotide long non-coding RNA. RefSeq lists it as uncharacterized. The record is from RefSeq and is a predicted model, not a curated record. The transcript has 3 exons. Lineage: Eukaryota; Metazoa; Chordata; Aves; Charadriiformes; Laridae.
UCUUAAGUGAAUUUAUGUGAGUGCUUAUGAAAAUGAAGUAUUAUAUGACAUUAAAGAAAAAGCAGAACCUUGCACGGUGUACAGGAAUACCAACUUGUUGAUAUCAAAUGCUUAUAGAGAGGUGAAUCCAUUCAAAACAUGGGUUUUAUUUCCUAAUCAAAGAGUUUAAUCAAAGUUCCUUAUCAAAGAGCUGUUUGAAAAUAAAUGUUUUUGACCACCAAGCAUAAACAUUCAAGUUAUUACGGAACAUUAUCUAGUGGAUAGGUAAGAGGAUUAGAAGUCAACCUCCCCAGUCCUUGUCUUACCUUUUAUAUGGUCUUUUAUGGUAAUCUUACACUAGUCACUGAACUUUUCUGAUUGCCUUUAUUUAUCUUUCUGUAUGACUAAAUAUGACUAAAUGUUGUAUCUGUCAUAUGAAGAUAGUAUGUAAGUAAUAGACUUAAACCUUCAUUUGAAAAAUGCCAGCAAAGCUGGGAAGAGCUUCAGAGGAACAAAUCACCCCACUCAGAACUGAAAUAGAGAGGUCCUUCUUCACGUCUGGGGCAGAGGUUUCAGGAACUUUAAGAAUCAAGCUAUCAUGAUGCUAAAAAUGCUUAACACCUUCAUCUUAAUGCAAAGGAAUUGUCAGGGAAUCGUGUAGCUAUGGAUUUUUUUCACUUCAGAAAAAAAUAGUAUGACUUUCAAAUAUCAUCUCUUCAAAAUUCAGUGGAAGUAUGGCCAUUGGAGAUGACUUGACAAAGCCUCCCCUAGAACAGCUAGUAGUCCUUGUUCUACCUUAUUCAGGUCAAGGACUGAAAAACAGGUGUUUUGUAGUCUAGUAAAUGACUUCACCACAAGGCUUUGGUUUUUUUUUCUUCUUUUCCUUGAGUUUUUGGGACCCCCUCAGCUACGUCUGUCUCUCUGCAACUUAUCAAGUUUGUACAAAUAGUUACCUAUUCACUGGCCUGGAGAAAGACCAAUGCAAUAGUCCAAUGGGCAGUCUAAGUCCUUCUUCCAAUUAAUGUUUAAUUAUUUAUACAAAGUGAAACAGGUCCAACAGGAGAGACCGAAGAAGCUGUUCUUCAGAAUAACUGAUAGUUUGGUGGCCAGAAAGCUUGCCUGGGAUGCAGGAUUCUGACAUUCAGACAUCUUGCAGAACAGAAACUUGAAAUCUGGACUCCUGUGUCACCAGUCAGUGCCUUGAUCAUAGGAUGAUUAUCUGGGAGGGGUGGCACUUUUCUUACUCUUUGAUGUAUUUCAAGUCUCAUCCUAGGCAUGAGAACCUUUCCCAGGUCCAGAGUGGUUUGGCCAUUGUGAUGAUUCCUCAAAGUCCCGUGUUUGAAGGAGAGGUCAACAAGCAGUGCUGAAGGGCAUGAGUCUCGGGAAGCCUGUAGAAUGCCAAAGCAUAUGCCUGCCUGACAUUGAUAUGAACCCAGGGCAUAAAACCAGGAGCCUGAUAUGUGAUCUGCUGCCAGUUGCCUUCAAACUACCAUGUCUGAUGAGGAAAAAAAGAGAGGAAGAGGAUGGAGAAAUGGGACAGGUCAUCUGGACUCUGAUAAUUAAUGUUCCUUAGAAAAUAAAAGUUUUGAAACUUUCCUGGAAAUGAGGUUUUAUAAUCUGCUACAAUGGCCCACAGGGGGGGAUGCUGCAACCUACACAUAUUGACAAUUGUGGUAUUACCAAGCAAUUCAUUUUUAUGAGUAAUUUCCAGAGCAACCCUCAACCAUGCAGUCACGCAUACAGUGCAGCAGUGUGCCAUAGAAGAAAGGCUCAGCUAGGGGCCAAAGAUUAUACAGAUUUGUUAAUAUUUGGAAAAAAGAUCCUAACAGCAGAAAGCAAAUUGAGCAACAGAGAGGGGGAGAAGGAAUGGACUUGACAACAAAGCAAGCUCUGUAAGGAUGGAUCCAGAGGACAGUGAACUCAAUGGAAUGAUUUCCAUUGAUUUCUUAAGAUCUUGGAUAGAUCUCAAGGGAACAGAGAUGCUCUGUCUUAUACCUUUCCCCC